Molecule: ribosomal RNA, 714 nt
Filed under: uncultured bacterium
Lineage: Bacteria
Description: bacterial SSU rRNA
Rfam family: Bacterial small subunit ribosomal RNA
Source: RNAcentral
AGUCGAGGGGCAGCAUGACUGUAGCAAUACAGUUGAUGGCGACCGGCAAACGGGUGCGAAACACGUACAGAACCUUCCUUCGAGCGGGGAAUAGCCCAGAGAAAUUUGGAUUAAUACCCCAUAGCAUAACGGAGUGGCAUCACUCUGUUAUUAAAGAUUUAUCACUUGAAGAUGGCUGUGCGGCUGAUUAGGUAGUUGGCGGGGUAACGGCCCACCAAGCCUGCGAUCAGUAACUGGUGUGAGAGCACGACCAGUCACACGGGCACUGAGACACGGGCCCGACUCCUACGGGAGGCAGCGGUAAGGAAUAUUGGUCAAUGGACGAAAGUCUGAACCAGCCAUGCCGCGUGGAGGAUGAAGGUCCUCUGGAUUGUAAACUUCUUUUAUAUGGGACGAAAAAAGGCUUUUCUAAGUCGUCUGACGGUACCAUAUGAAUAAGCACCGGCUAACUCCGUGCCAGCAGCCGCGGUAAUACGGAGGGUGCAAGCGUUAUCCGGAUUCACUGGGUUUAAAGGGUGCGUAGGUGGGUUGGUAAGUCAGUGGUGAAAUCUCCGAGCUUAACUUGGAAACUGCCAUUGAUACUAUCAGUCUUGAAUAUUGUGGAGGUUAGCGGAAUAUGUCAUGUAGCGGUGAAAUGCUUAGAUAUGACAUAGAACACCAAUUGCGAAGGCAGCUGGCUACACAUAUAUUGACACUGAGGCACGAAAGCGUGGG